Molecule: ribosomal RNA, 253 nt
Filed under: uncultured bacterium
Lineage: Bacteria
Description: partial 16S ribosomal RNA
Rfam family: Bacterial small subunit ribosomal RNA
Source: RNAcentral
GACGUAGGGGGCCAGCGUUGCUCGGAAUUACUGGGUGUAAAGGGUUCGUAGGCGGUGUGGCAAGUCGGGAGUGAAAUCUCUGGGCUCAACCCAGAGUCUGCUUCCGAAACUGCCGUGCUUGAGUGUGGGAGAGGCGCGUGGAAUUGCAGGUGUAGCGGUGAAAUGCGUAGAUAUCGGGAGGAACACCUGUGGCGAAAGCGGCUCACUGGACCACAACUGACGCUGAUGCACGAAAGCUAGGGGAGCAAACAGG